This is a non-coding RNA of Odocoileus virginianus texanus, 1827 nucleotides long. The record is from RefSeq and is a predicted model, not a curated record. NCBI's taxonomy places the organism in Eukaryota, Metazoa, Chordata, Mammalia, Artiodactyla, Cervidae.
CGUGGGCCGCGGUCCUCCCCACGACAGGCUCAGCCACGGGCUUCUCUGCUCCCCACUGGGAAGGCCGUGGGGAGGAACCCAGAGCUGCCCAGAAUCAGAUCGUGAGGAAAGACAGGGUGUUAGGGGAGGCUGGGAAGGGCAGGAAAGAAAUAUCCCCCGAGCACCUACUCUCUGCUCGGAGAAGAUAAGCAAUCGCCCCAUGGUCGAAGUGUUGGACUUGAACUCAAGUCUUUCCCGCUUUUAGCUCUCACUCGUGUUGUUGCCGUCUUCUUUUCAUUCAUUUAUUCAUGCAUGCAUUCAUUCACUGGUCCAUUUUCUUGAACUCCAUAGGGAGUGGGAAAAGCAUAGAUCUCAGAACCCAGAUACCCCAGUUCUCUUUCCCGGCCAAGAACUCCAAGGAAAAUUGCUUUGCCUCGAUUCCCUUAUCACUUUAAAAAAACAUGACGACACCCACUGCUUAUUGUGAGGUUCCGCUAAGGAUCUAUGCGGAUGCGCUAGGAUCAGUGCGCAUGCGCAAACGUCUUCACCGCCCACAGCCCGCCUCAACGCAAGCGCACCCCUGGCAUAGCGGUCACCGAAAGCCCGAUGAGGUACCACAGUGCUUGCAUUCAAAAGUGCUCUGGCUGCACAGGGUCAGACAUACCACAGCUGCUUCUACUAGGGGGCAGAGGAGAAAAGAUCUAUGUGAGAAUAUACGAAUGUGCCGUGAGCGGUUCCAUUUGACUGGGUGAGGGAGCUUUCUGCCAAGAAGGGGCAUGUGAGUCCCACCAGCGGGGUAGAAGGAGAAGGGACAUCCAAGGGCUAAGUGGGGAGAGAACAGCAUCCGAAAAGGCAUGUAGACCUAAAGGUUCCCUGGGAAUAAUGAAGACAGAGUAGACCCAUGUCCCUGGGCAAGGAGACCGAGACGGGUCGGAGAAUCAGGACAGGCCCCCACUGACUUUGGCUGUUGCGCUGGAGGACUUGAACUUUAUCCUCUGGGCGUGGGGGAGCCGCGACCGUUUUCUGAGGACAGUUGUGACAUGCUUUGGCAAGGGUCUUGGGGACAUCACAAAGGAUGAACUAAAGGGGCUAUGAUAGGGAACAGAGGCCAGCUCAGAAGUCGUGCAGGUCCAGCCACGAGGUAAAGAACAGACAGAGCCAGAUAAAUGGACACCAGGUCAUUGAGCAUGUCCCACGUUUCCAGCACUUUCUGGACAUCUCUGUCGCCUUCAGUGGCGCUUUGAGUUAGGUGCUCUUGUUCUCAUCUUACAGGCGGGCUGUGUCCCUCUACUGACAGCCUGGCUCCUCAAGCUGCACUCUCCAGUCACCUCUCUCCAGGUUCUGGCAGCUGCUCCCUCUCUUGUCUGUUCAAGCCUGGGGGUGGGGACGGCACCCUGUUUUACUUUUUUACGUAUUUAUUUAUUUGGCUGCAUCAGGUCUUAGAUAUGGCACCCAGGAUCUUCGCUGUAUCAUGCAGGAUCUUUUGAUGCCGCGUUCAGACUGUCUGCUUGUGGCGUGGGCUUUGGUAUCUGCACCUUACAGGGCAGAUUCUUCACCACUGGGCCAUAGUAAAGUUUCAGCAUCCUAGUUUUAUUUUUUUUUUACAAAUGAAACUGUCUAUAGUGUCUGGACCUCAGGAGAGAGAGCAGCAGGCCCGCAGCUUGUAACGAGCACUGGUAAGGUCAUCACGGGGGUGGAUGAGCUUCCUGGAAGAGCAGAGGAUGAGGCCCGGGGACCAAGCUCCGGGGGAUGCUGACAUUUACGAGGCCUCAGAGGAUGGGCAGCCAAGAGUGCAGCUGAGACUUGAUGGCACUGGAGCCCCCUUUCAUGUUGUUACUCAUUCUGUCC